Non-coding RNA from Zootoca vivipara (common lizard), 11016 nucleotides. NCBI's taxonomy places the organism in Eukaryota, Metazoa, Chordata, Lepidosauria, Squamata, Lacertidae. The record is from RefSeq and is a predicted model, not a curated record.
AGAAAUCUUAGUCAAUUAAUCAAUUGAAUUUAAAGUGAUUAAUUAAUCAAAUGGAUAUUAAUUUGCAUAUGACUUAAAGCAAUAGGUAUUAAGAAAAAGGCAGACUUUCAUUGUUUUCAGAUGAUGCAUGCAUGUGUCACCACAGUCACCAUCUCAAAAGAAGCAUUUGCUCCUAUGGGAGAGAGAAAAUGCCUUUUCUAAGGAAGCACCUGCCAUCUGCAGUUUUUAUGCCCAGCUGCAUUGGACUUCCUUCUGACCCUAGACGUACAGAGAAGGGCAAGGACUCUUUCAUAAGGACCCCUGGGUAUGUCACAAUGCUCAUUUUUUUGCUUCAGGUUCUGAAGAAAAAUUACUGUGCAGAAAGUGAUGACAAAACUCUGUUCAGGCCAAGGAUAUCCUAGGAACCGUCUCGUUCCUCCUGCCCGUCCUCCAUACGUAUGCAUCAGCUGACACAAUCUCUGCACGGUUGCCAAAGCCCUGAGCUCUCUCUUCUUGUUCAACAAACUCUUGGCAAGAAAAACUGCUUCCAAUAAUGCUGGUCUCAGUGACGUAGUCAGCCCUGUUUAACAAGUUUAAGAGAAAAAGGUUGAGAAAGAAAUGGAAAGUCAGAGGCCUUCAAAACUAAAGCCUGAUAUCCGUAAUCCUCUAGGCCGGGACUGACAUUUUCUUUAUAUGGUCAUGAUACAGUAAGACUGCUUGCCAAGUUUCUAUCUAGGCUUCUGAGUCAAGCUGGUAGUACAGUACCAUAAUUCACAGGAAUUCUUCCACUCCCUACCCCCACCUCUGACGGAAAGCAUGCAUUUUGCAGAGGGAAAAGCUACUUUGGGACAACAGUUGAAAAAAGGGGUGAGCACUCCCUGUGGCUUCAAAUCCCUUCACUCAAAACAGACUUUUCUCUUAAAAACAAGUAAAAGACAAUCCAGAUUUUCUUAACUUACAUUCACGUGUAACUGUAACAUCUAGCUAAGGCCGGAAAAAGGAGCUUAAGAAAACCCUGCUUCUGCAUAACACGCCUCUAUUUUGUUUUGUGACUAACCGAUUGUAUAUUUAUUUAGUGACUGAGAGAACACUGCAAAUACUUGGCUAGCUGUAGAACUUCAGGGGUGGUGCCUGAGUCAGUUCCUUUUCCUUCUGCAGCUAUUUAAAGUGGCAGUAAUUAUUAUUUUUAAAGACACCCCCCCCCCCAAAUAAUUUAAAAGGUAUUUUUGCACCUGAUUUUAACAUCAGUUUUGUUUUGUGAUGUUCAAAUUAAGCCUGACAAUAUACACAAUAGUGGAUCUGAUAGUGGAUUUGUUUCUGUAAAUGCCAAGUUCACAUCCUAGAAGAGGCAAGUGUCUUCUGUUCCUUUUCAGGGAAAAGCUAUACAGUACUGCAGCGUUUCUCAACCGCUGUUCCGUGGCACACUAGUGUGCCGCGAGACGCUGGCUGGUGUGCCGCGACGUGCGGCGACGAGAAGGGCGAUUUGCAUUGUCACGUGCCUGGCGGCCGCCAAUAAACACCACCAACCCGCCGGAAAGCAAUAUUUCUCCUCCUCUUUCCCAAAGCUCAGUGCAAACGAGCCUGGCAGCCGCCAAUACACAACGCUAACCCGCCGGAAAGCAAUAUUUGGCAAGUGUUUCUUACAGUCAUAAUUAUAAUAUAGGGCGGCACAGAGUUAAUUUUUUUAACCUUUUUAAUGGUGGUGUGCCUCGUGAUUUUUUUCACGGAACAAGUGUGCCGUGGCCCAAAAAAGGUUGAGAAACACUGCAGUACUGUACUGCUUAUCAACUGGUCUGUGUCCGGAAAGGUUCAUUAGAAGCUCAUGGCAUACAGCUAUGAAUUAGGUGUUUGACUUGUGAACUUAGGAAUUCACAUUUUAAAACCUAAAACAUCUCCCUAAGCUACCUUCUGUCUAGGCCAGGACAUAAAAACACUUAAGUCAAGACUGUUUUAGCUACAUGUGACAUACAAAUAGAUUAGCAGCUGAGAGAGAUGCAGGCAGGCCAAAAGGAAAGAGGCAGACCAAGAAAAACUACAAGUGCCGAGGAAAGAUAGGUGGGAGACCAGGAAGGCUGUGCAGACACAUACACAGAUAUGUGCAGAGUGAAUGCGUAUCUUUCUUCCUCAACAUAGAUGUACCUUUCUGUGUACUUGCAUGACCUUUCUUAGAAAUCAGUUUUAGUGCUUGAAAAUGUGUCAACUGGUUUCACCAGUGAUACAUGGGCGUUUCUUACUGAACCUGGGAGUGCUUCCAAACUUCAAGCUCUACCUCUACUUAUUUGCCCGCUAGGGUGAACACACCAAUUCUGCCUGCUCCCCAUUCUGUCCAUUGAUUGCCUUUCUUGAACUCGCAACAUUUUCAAACACUUCAUUCAGACACUGCAUCUUUCCCACUGUUCGGCACCCUCCAAUUUCAUCACUGUUUUCCUAACAGUUUUCUUUAAAUCUUGGAACUUGUUUCCCACUUAGUCUUAAUUCAUUAAUUCAUUGUUAUCCUAAUUCAUCUGCUUUUCUAGUGUGUCCCCGCUAGCUCCCCGCCCUGCACUGUGGCUUGUGCUGCCUGAGGAGGCACAGCAAUGGCGCCCCUCCCUAAGUCAAGGUGGAGCGUACCUAAAGCUGGCACCUUUUGGCACCUUAAGACAGAAAAUCCCACACAUGCCUCUUCCUGGGAGUAAAAAUACAACAAGAAUAAAAUAAAUAAAUGUUCAAGUUGUCGCUAGCCUUUCAUGACACUCAAAAACUCGCUCUAGGAUUGGCUACACUUUUGCUUUCCUGAAUGGAGUCAGACAGAAAUAUGAUGAAUCGGUGUAAGGGACAUACGCAGGAUGGGCAUUGUGAGGAUGAGAUAGUCAGGAGACAAAUAGCAGAGAGCAAGACAAAAACAUAGUGAGGGAAACUGUAACUGCAUACGCACCAAAUGUUUAAAGCACAUUCUCCCCCACCCCACAAUAAUUCUGGGAACAGUAGUUCCCAGAAGAACUACUCUGAGAACUACAAUUCCCAGCACCCCAAACAAUCUACUGUACGGUUCCAGGAGUCUUUGGAGAGGGACAAAAUAGACUGGAAAAUAAAAACUCUUUAGCCCAAAUCGACCGAUGCUGACCUAGUUACUAACAGGCUUUUGGUCUCCUGAUAAGUAAAAGUGUAGGUGGUCUCUUGCAGGGUUUUCUGAUGAUGGGUGACGGGUCCUGAGGUGAGGGACUGGUGGACCCUGGCUGCAUACCGCAGCCCAUUUUAAGGGCUCUCUCCCCCAUCCUGGACUGAAUUGACAGUUGGCAUUUUACGGCCAAUCAGACCACAGGCCACGCUUGGCGGAUAACUCAUGUGACACCUUGCUGGGAGAUGGGAAGAUGUAGAUAGUCCCCUGCGGGCAGGCAAAUAAUGUUUAGCUCUGGUGGAAAUGGAAGCCCACUGCACCUAGUCUGGGCUCUGGAUUCAGGAGCUGGUUGGAGUAUGCGUUUGCCUCACUUGAGCAAAAUGGAGGGGUAAGAGAGCAGGGCUUUUCUGCACAGUACCAAACUCAUAUUCCUCAAUAGUGUGGUUCCCAGAUGUUUUAAAUAAAUAACCGUAUUUGCACUUAAAAAACCAAAUUUACUCUGGCCUAAGCUUUCCAGUGUAGAAUAAUGAAGGAGAUUCACUGAGGAGGGGAUCUCAGUUCUCUGAGGGGGAAAAUGGAUUUUAUAAUCUUUUAAUUAAUUCAAAUGUAUACUUUUUAAAAGGAAAAAUUAUUCUGGAAAAGAAUCCAGUUAUUUCAAUAUUUUAAAAACCGGCAUUUUCUUGGAACAAUUUGCACACUUACUUUCCUGAACUGGCAUACACAUCUCCAUGGUGUAACGACGAGUAACAACGAAAGGAUACGUUCCCCCCACCCCCCAUUUUCGGCUCCUUUCCCUCCUCUACUGUGUUAGCACAAGGAGUACUCUGUUGUAGGAUUAAUGUCACUGUGGCAUUAAGAGAAAAGCCACCCCCAUAGCCCAGAAAAAAUUGGAUCGUCCAUACAGGUCUUUAACUUCAUUAGUCACUUACAACAGGAUUAGAAAGAGGAGCACAGUGAACCAAGGCAUAGCCUUGCCUGUCCUAGCUGAAAUCUUGUUUUCGAACUGACCGCGCAGAAAUGAUUAGAUGCGGAAACCAAAGGAAAUUCUUUUCUAGAACAAGGAGUUAAUCUGCAGCGUCCCAGUUUCGCAAUGAAAUUGAUGUAAGGCCUAAAUGACUACAUCUGCAGAACAUUUUGUUUUCUGUGUGAUACAAAAUUUCACCACAUAAAGAUAGGGUGCUAUGACUUGCAGGCUGUGAAAUGCUGUAAACACAGGUAAGAAAAUAAAAAUAAAAUAAAAUUGUAGGUAAAUAAAAUGCAACCCUCUGAUAAAAGGGAAGUGUCUCCUGGAUCUUCUCAAGUGCUUUCUAUAAUAUGAUGGUGCAACAGCAGAUAGUACAGGCAUUCCGCAUUUGCCCUGUUCUCAUUAUCGCUACUGUGCAUGGUGGGUGGCUAUGAAAAACUGAACCCAUGUGCAGAAUUUAGCCUGGGUCAGCUCUUGAUACUCCACUGCCACACAUGAUCAUUCAUACUGCAUGCCAAAUGUUAAUCUGCACUGAAAUGAGUCUGUGACACCAGAUGUAAACAUCCUUGGCAUAGGUUGGCAUAGCUGGACUUCCACGGGCCCAGCCUUUCCUGUUAAACUACAUGCCGCAAACACCACCCAGACAGGCCCUCUGCCUCAUAAACUCUGCCGAUCACCUAUAGAUCCAUUAUGUCUGCUUCUUGACAUUUUGUUUUUUUAAAAAAAUUGCCACAGAUCCCUAAUACAAAAUGCUCAUGUGACUUGUGAAAUAUUGAAGUGCAUGUUUAGAGAUCACAUUUCACUUUAAAAUACACACAAGAGGCAAGAUAUUGCCACUCCUGUGUGUUCAAGGUCUUAAUGUCCAGCAUACUAUUCGUGUGUAUUUUGUAUGUAUACAAAUAUAAAAGGUCAAUGGCCCUUAAUUUUUGAUAGGAAGCUCCUGAUCCAUUCUCAUGGAUGGGAGCAUGGUGCAUGGAUAGUAUUUCAGUAUCUCUUUGCUGAUUCAUGCCUACGGACCUAACCAAAUUUCCACUGGUCUCAUUUCCCAAGUGUUCAUUUUUCAUUUCUUGAGCAUAGCUUCAUGCUGACUCACUCUUUAUCUAGUUCCUGUGUCCUUUCCCCAGCCUUUCUAAGUAUGUGCUUCUUCUACCGCUUGAUUCUUUAUCUGCUCAGUUUCUAUGUAGCCAAAUAAAUUAUUUUUGUAAUCUAUAAGCCUUGCUUAGAUGCUAGCCAAAUUUAUUCCACACACCCCACUCUUCAUCUUUUUUUCUUUUAUAUUUGCAAUACACGCAAAACACCUUGCAGUUAUUAACUACAACAAAACACUGGGAUAUCUCUUCUUUCCAGGAUGAGAGGGCCUGUAUCAGUUGUACCCUCUGUUUCUGGGAAGUUAGUUUCCAUGAGGGAAACUGGCUCUUGUGUUAUGGAGACGGUGAGGGGAUUGUAAGUAUAUCCUCCUAGUACACACAGCUGUUAUGGGAAAGGAACCCAAUACUGAAUUCUCCCACACCCAGAAACACAGAUUUUAAGUAUAAAAAUGAAUAAAGAUAAAUAAAGAAGAGGUUCACAAAUACUGCUGGGAUUUUAAAAUACUCAUGUUUUGUUUCCAAAUGAACCUUAUGUCUUAAAAUAAAUCAAGUGCAGUUGUAUAUCAAAAGACUUUAAUUCUGUUCUUAUCUGUACAGGGCAGUUCUUUCCACAAGUCACCAUGUUUGCCUUAUAAGUUCCUGCAGGUCUCGUUUAUCUUCUUACUCUUUUAAGAGACCAAGCAGGAAAAACAAUGAUGAAAUUAUUUUAUAUCCCUCCUUUCUGUGUGCUAGUCCUGCGAGUGUUUCCUAGAUUUAGGUCAAGGUUGUUGGUAAAUAUUAAUGUCACCGGAAAUGCUUUUGAGGAACUCUUGUGGAAGGUCAAAUUGCAUAAGUAUCCUGAUGCAGGAUCUAGCUCCACUGAACCUGCAGCCUGGCUUGACCCCCCUUCCCCUUCCCAGCAGCCCAAUAAGUUGUACCUGCUCCCCCUUCUCCCAAUGCAUUCGAACUUCUGUUCCUCACAUUGUGGCAGCUCACUUCUGGAGGGUGCUGUUACGCUUUCCAAAAUAACCUAAGCAUGGGGUAAAAUGGGAAAUCAGAAAAAUAUAACUACAGUGGUACCUUGGUUCCUGAACAGCUUAGUUGUCAAACAAAUUGGCUCCCGAAUGCUGCAAACCCAGAAGUAGGAUGUAAGGGGGACUCCCUACAGGGAGCCAGCCCCCAUUAUCCUAACGUCCACCUCAUCAAGUACAGAGAGCACCAGUGGUUCUGAAGCAGCCAGAGGGGGAGGAAGAGACUCGGAGGGGGAGAGAAAACAGAGUGAGGAACAAUGGAAAAGCUCGGAGGUGGAGGGAUGCAGGCAGAUGCUUGGGGAUACUGCAGAGCCAGGGAACUGACUGCUGAGGGAGGAAACUGAAAGGGCAUCGCUCCUUCCGGGCGCCAGAAAUGAGGAGAGCACCGCAACGCAGGUCAAGGGGGUGGUAUUUUGGGGUGCCCAGACUACAUUGCUGGCGUAGGAACAGACAUACGCCAUUGCCGGAUUCUGAUUCGGGAUGAGAGGUCAUGUUUUAAGCUCUCUACACUGUAAAUAGAUAGCACAAUAAACUUCUUUGAAGACAAACUGGACUCAGGCGGAGUUACUCUAGAGUAGCCACGACGACCCUCUGACAUAAGUGUUCCGGUUUGCAAACGUUUUUUGGAAGCCGAAUGUCCGGUGUGGCUUCUGUGGCUUCCGAUUGAGUGCAGUAAACUCCUGCAGCCAAUCGGAAGCCACGCCUUGGUUUUUGAAUGGUUUCGGAAGUUGUACAGACUCCCGGAACGGAUUAAGUUUGAAAACCAAGGUGCCACUGUAUAGGCAUAGAGCAGGUGUGGGGAGCUCCCCCCCCCAGCCUGAAGGCCACAUUCCCUCAUGGGCAACUUCCCAGGGGCCACAUUCUAGCGGUGGUGAAUAGGACCAGAGGCAGCUAGGAUAUGGCCGGAGGCAAAUGGGGGAGGAGCAAUGGAUGUUGCUCCAACUUUGGUGUAGUAGGCAACAUUCAGCCAUGGAAAACCCAUAUUUUCUUCACCCACACUCACAAACACAACCCUCUGAAGCUGCACUGAGGAAGCAUAGACAAGAUCAACUUAAAAACCACACAGCAGGCUGCGCAAGCAGAACAGAAACUAAAAACACCGUGCCUGAGAGUUAACUCAGGCAGCUCCUCGUACAGCAGGCCAGGAGAGCCAAUACACUGCACUCUCCACACUGCAUCUAGGUAAGCAGAAGACACUAUUGCUUUGCGGACCCAUUUCCACCAGGAAGAAGCAUUUGAGAAGGGCAUGGGAGGGUGUGACCUGGGGAGAGGCGUGUGUGAGGAGGAGUCUGGCAGAGAGACCUGAGGGGCUACACGCAGGCCCCAGGACUGAGGUUGCUCAUCCCUGAAAAAGAGGAACAAGAACGUAUCCUUUUCACUGCACUUUGCAAAAUUCUGUAAUCUAAACCCUGAGAGAAGCAACGAGAGCACGAGAUUGCUUGUUAAUAUUUUAGAACCUGAACGACUGUGUCAGACACAAAAAUCACUUUCAGCUGUCAAAAUAUCCCAUGCAAUUUCCCAGAGCAUAAAAGCAGGUGGUCUGUCAGAUGUGAAAGGUGGUAAGAAAGGCUGCGGUAUUUACUCCUACCUUGUCAAAUAAAUUCUGUGCCAUAGUUGAAUUCCAUAUGUGCAGCACCCUGGAAUCUUGGAUAAUACACCAAAUAAAACUGGCCUAAUAUUGCAGCACUAACCACCGCUACACUGAAUCUUGCAGCUCCCAAGCCGAGUGGGAGUGUGGCUCCUCUUUGUAUAUUACUCAGUGCUAUGAUUUGAGUCUGUGUGGUGUAGUGGCUAAUGUUGGGCUGUGAGACCAGGGUUUAAAUCCCCAUACAGCCAUGAAGGUCACUGUGUCACCUUGAGCCAGUCACUGUCUCUUAGCCUAACCUAACACUCAGUGUUGUUGUGAGAAUAAAACGGGGAGGGGGAAAACAGAUAUGCAUGCCAUCUUGAACUCCUUGGGGGGUGGGGGGGAUGAUAUAAAUCAAAUAAAUAAUGUCUGAAGAAAUAAUGUCCAUUCUCACAGCUGUGGUCCAACUCAGAUGCAGAUUACAAGGUGUUAUUUAAAGGUCAAAAAAGAAAUAAUGUAACUAGUACAGUUUAGGGUGCAAACAUUGGUCCUUGGAAGGUGACCCGGGAGGCAUAGGAUAUUGGGGGGGGGGUCCUCCCUUUCCACAGAGACAAGUGCUCCAGUGGUUGUAAGGAGAUAAAAUGAGUGUAAGCAGGGUGUGUCAAGAGGCAAUCCCCUCCCACCUCCUGUCCUGGCCAGCGCAUGACUGACAUGGCUCUGGAGCGUUGUUCUGUCCAUUAUUUUUACCACUAGGAGGGGUGCCAUUUAAAUAAUAUGCCACGGGCACAGAAAUGCCUUGGGCCAUCUCUGCCAGGUGUUUGUGCUCUAGCUCUCUGCUUAUUCCAUGUAUAUUCAAUAGCAUACGAGGCUUGUGUUAAGUGAAGUCUGACCACAGGAACAAAUUACCUUGCCUUUAAGGCUAAUUUAAGCCUGAAGGAACUGGUUGUUUAGCAGGGAGUUGAUUGCACAUGUGGCUUCUCAGUCAAUAAUUAUGACUUCUGACAAUUUCUGGAAUCUCCCCAGGACCAGCAGCAUUCCAGAGCAGAGGUGAAGGCAGGGGCGAAUUCCUUCCUCUCCCUUUUUCUCCAGAACCCCAUGGAAAAAUUCUUUCGGAAGAAUGCCUUGCUCUCCACAAGUACUUUAUGGCUGAUAUUUCAUAUGAAAGAAGCAAUCAGGUAGCAUGCAGAGUUCUACUUGAGCGUGAAUAAUAUACCACAUCCUCUGUUCCCAGAAGCAUGAGGGUUUCCUGUUGAUUUUAGUAAGAGGUGAAUUUUACUUGCUUUCACAUCUUCAUUGUGAGCUGAAGGUGAGGAAGUUUUGAGAAAACCUGCUCAAAAACCCAGCUUAUGGAAACAGAAUCUAUUAUUACAACCCAGACCUUUAGAUCGUCCUCUGUUUGGUAUCACAUCACUAAGGUGAAGAAGCUCACAAUAUAUUUUUUUUUAAAGGAAAAUCAUUACCAUUUGGGGGCUUACAAGAAAUUGUGGGAAGGUGGAAGAUGAAUGAUGGAAAAAUUAAUGUAAUACCCUGAGACUCCUAAGUUCCAGGUCUGUUAUUUAUUGUUUACUUAUAUGCUUUAUUUAUGUCCUGCUUUUCCUCCAACAAGCUCAAGGCAGCAUACAUAGUUAUCCCCUGUAGGUUAGAGUUAAGGUUGGGGACUGGUGAAUUUUAUGAAUGAGUGUAUAUUUGAGAAUGGAUCUCCCCAGGUCUUGUCUGGCACUCUAAUUAGGAGUUGCCAUCCAUGGGAUGGUCCAUGGGGUCACGAAGAGUCGGACACGACUAAACAACAACAUUUUUGAACCUGUGGGCAUAUUUCAUAUUUUUCAUCAAUCACAAAAUGUCUGCAGUAGGGGUGUGACCUGUCCAUACAUCAUUCUGCUUUGUUCUGUGCUGCUUCUCUAACAAUACUGCAUUAUCGUCCGCUGGAGAGGCACUCUUGGACUAUAGUGCAACAAAAGUGGGACACACACACACACACACACAAACCACACGACAUGCACUGAUUAGAACUUAGCACUAUGUUUGCCCCCAAACCUUUGCAUGAACAGUGUUGAAAUCAAGGUCACAUAUAUACCACCAACCUGAUAACAUCAUGUGCAUAAAUCAUCACAAAUGCAGAAUAAAAAGGACAUUUCACGUAGAUGCACUGAUCAUCGCCAGCUUUCUCGCUGAAGAAGCUUUUCGCUGAAGAAGCUUUCCGCUGUAGUGACAGUACCAUGUCCUCACAAAAAUGGUAGGCACAUCCUUUGACUGCAGAAAAGUUCAAAGCCUGGGCAAAUGCCCACCAGUCAUAUCUUACCUUUAGUCAAGUGCACUUGUGCUCAUUAACGAAGCUAAGAUAUUGUGUUUCACUGCCAUAUUUACUCAUAAUACAUAAUCUGGAUUAUAUCUGCUCACUUUAUUGCUCCUUCCGUUGAACUUUCUACUUACAGAAGUUCCUGUUUAAAUAAGGAACAAACAGUCCAGAGCCCAGAUGCUGUAACUCGCUGCAUCUCUCCUAGAUUUUCUGGCUCUUCUCGCAAAGGACUGGUUCAUGUGUUCAACUCAGUGGGGUGUCACCUUUUAAUUUGCGAGAGCUCUCCAUUCUUGUGAGUUGUGAAGUAAGAGCUCACAGCUCAUGAGUUUCAGACACAGUAAAGUCUGUGAUUUUGGAUACUAUAUGGAAAUCAUGAAAAAUGGCAUGGCUGAGACUUAUUCAUCUAUCAACUCACAUAUUACUUUGCUCAUGCAAAUGAAAAAAUCAUGUGCAUAAAAAAGUGGACACACACACACACACGUUUGGCAAAAGACAGCUGCAACUAAUGCCACAAUGGGACUUGACUUAUUUUCAAGACAAAAACAAGGAAGGGUUUCCCAGGAUGGCAUCUGCAAAAUACAGUAAAAAACCAAUAAUGUAAACAAUAAUAUUAAGAAGAAAUAGAAAAGACUUAUUAAAUAUAAAAUAACAUAUGGUAGAUAUAAUAGUUAAAAAACUGAAUAUAAAACACAACUUUAAAUGCCUUGGAAAAUAAAAAAAGUUUUUUCCUGGUGCCAGAAUCACAAAAUAAGUGGAUGCCAAGUAUCUCCCUCUCUUUUGCCAUUCACUAUAAUUGUAAUCGCAGGACAGGCGAUAGGGAUAAGAAACCUCAGGCCUGGGGGCCCAAUGUGUCAAUCCAGGACUUUCUAUAUGGCCCUCAAGACUCUCCCAAGACCAGCCCACUCACUCCACCUGUUCUCUGCCCUCAUCAAGUGCCUUUGCCUCUUGCUUGCUUGGAUGUGUUUAUGUACACAAGUCUUUGCUUCUCUCCAGCCCAUGACUGUGCUGUAUGGAG